CCGGCUCGGAUUGAUUGUCAAUAAUACGCUCAACCUUGAUAAAGUAUCCGAAUAUCUGCAGUCGAUGAGUGAGGACGUUCGGAGCACGGUUAUCGCAGCGUACAGAAAAUGUGAAGCUAAAACGACUGGAUCACAAGGCGUUUGCCAUUCAUAUGCAGUGGAUCUUGAAAGUUGCGCUCUGGACGAGAUCUACCGACAAUGCCCGGAUGAGCUUUAUAAUCCGAGUGAAUUAUGCGACAAGAUAAGGGCAGGCGUCGAAUUAUGCUUAAGAAAACCGAAGAUCUGAAAAAGCUAUUCAGUAGUGGGAGAAUAA
This is a long non-coding RNA of Armigeres subalbatus, 313 nucleotides long. RefSeq lists it as uncharacterized. The record is from RefSeq and is a predicted model, not a curated record. Lineage: Eukaryota; Metazoa; Arthropoda; Insecta; Diptera; Culicidae. The transcript is spliced from 3 exons.